UGCUAGGGCGUGCCGGUGCGUUAAUCUUGCCUACUGGUUUGGCUUCUCCUUCCCGUCCCGGGGCGGCUAGCGGUGCGGUGUACGGCCUCGGCGCCCUCCUGUCCUUCCUGAGGUGUAUGGCUAUGUGAGGAGCUGAAGCAUGCAUCGUCGUGGUUGAUCCUCUCUCAAGUGGAGGAGAGGCCUUGUGUGUGCUUGCCCGCAGAGUGUGCGGAUUGGAGUUGUGACUGUGUCGCCGCCAUGGUUCCCGGCUCCUCCACACGUAGUUGAUGCCAUUCACAGCACAUCCAUCUAUGGAUGAUUUGGUUUCCUCACGUAUCAUGCUUGCAAAGUAACAAGGAGAACCCCAAUGAAGCCAAGAGGAGAAAAACUAAUAUACUCAUGUGUGCUUCAAAUCAAGAUGCUGCCACUGCAACUAAUGGAUUUGACCAAGGUUUCUACUGAUGUCGGUUGCAAUUACCCAACUAUGGAUGUAUCUGUACAAGCUGACAGAGCUUCAAGUGCUGAACAUUUCGUUUACAUGAUGCAACACUUAGUUCCCAUUUGUCAUGUAGUAUCUGUAGACUCUAUGUUGUAUGGUAGUGUUAGUGUAGUCUUUUUAUUUUGUUGGAGAUGCCUUUCUAUUGGUAGUAUUGUAAGUUGCUACAUGUGUGUUCACUUACAGUGUACCACUUUUUACUGCCUCCAAAUAAUGUUGUUGUCUGUACUUUUGGGCCCAUCCUGGAGAAACAAUUUCUCUAUCGUUUGCAUUUCACUCUUA
Long non-coding RNA from Lolium perenne, 757 nucleotides. RefSeq lists it as uncharacterized. Lineage: Eukaryota; Viridiplantae; Streptophyta; Magnoliopsida; Poales; Poaceae. The record is from RefSeq and is a predicted model, not a curated record.